RNAcentral lists this ribosomal RNA (1376 nucleotides) under Lactiplantibacillus plantarum. RNAcentral describes it as "bacterial SSU rRNA". It matches the Rfam family "Bacterial small subunit ribosomal RNA", at positions 23 to 1362 of the family's 1533-position model. Lineage: Bacteria; Bacillati; Bacillota; Bacilli; Lactobacillales; Lactobacillaceae. The record is from RNAcentral.
CUCAGGACGAACGCUGGCGGCGUGCCUAAUACAUGCAAGUCGAACGAACUCUGGUAUUGAUUGGUGCUUGCAUCAUGAUUUACAUUUGAGUGAGUGGCGAACUGGUGAGUAACACGUGGGAAACCUGCCCAGAAGCGGGGGAUAACACCUGGAAACAGAUGCUAAUACCGCAUAACAACUUGGACCGCAUGGUCCGAGUUUGAAAGAUGGCUUCGGCUAUCACUUUUGGAUGGUCCCGCGGCGUAUUAGCUAGAUGGUGGGGUAACGGCUCACCAUGGCAAUGAUACGUAGCCGACCUGAGAGGGUAAUCGGCCACAUUGGGACUGAGACACGGCCCAAACUCCUACGGGAGGCAGCAGUAGGGAAUCUUCCACAAUGGACGAAAGUCUGAUGGAGCAACGCCGCGUGAGUGAAGAAGGGUUUCGGCUCGUAAAACUCUGUUGUUAAAGAAGAACAUAUCUGAGAGUAACUGUUCAGGUAUUGACGGUAUUUAACCAGAAAGCCACGGCUAACUACGUGCCAGCAGCCGCGGUAAUACGUAGGUGGCAAGCGUUGUCCGGAUUUAUUGGGCGUAAAGCGAGCGCAGGCGGUUUUUUAGAGUCUGAUGCUCGAAAGCCUUCGGCUCAACCGAAGAAGUGCAUCGGAAACUGGGAAACUUGAGUGCAGAAGAGGACAGUGGAACUCCAUGUGUAGCGGUGAAAUGCGUAGAUAUAUGGAAGAACACCAGUGGCGAAGGCGGCUGUCUGGUCUGUAACUGACGCUGAGGCUCGAAAGUAUGGGUAGCAAACAGGAUUAGAUACCCUGGUAGUCCAUACCGUAAACGAUGAAUGCUAAGUGUUGGAGGGUUUCCGCCCUUCAGUGCUGCAGCUAACGCAUUAAGCAUUCCGCCUGGGGAGUACGGCCGCAAGGCUGAAACUCAAAGGAAUUGACGGGGGCCCGCACAAGCGGUGGAGCAUGUGGUUUAAUUCGAAGCUACGCGAAGAACCUUACCAGGUCUUGACAUACUAUGCAAAUCUAAGAGAUUAGACGUUCCCUUCGGGGACAUGGAUACAGGUGGUGCAUGGUUGUCGUCAGCUCGUGUCGUGAGAUGUUGGGUUAAGUCCCGCAACGAGCGCAACCCUUAUUAUCAGUUGCCAGCAUUAAGUUGGGCACUCUGGUGAGACUGCCGGUGACAAACCGGAGGAAGGUGGGGAUGACGUCAAAUCAUCAUGCCCCUUAUGACCUGGGCUACACACGUGCUACAAUGGAUGGUACAACGAGUUGCGAACUCGCGAGAGUAAGCUAAUCUCUUAAAGCCAUUCUCAGUUCGGAUUGUAGGCUGCAACUCGCCUACAUGAAGUCGGAAUCGCUAGUAAUCGCGGAUCAGCAUGCCCGGG